Molecule: long non-coding RNA, 279 nt
Filed under: Hordeum vulgare
Lineage: Eukaryota; Viridiplantae; Streptophyta; Magnoliopsida; Poales; Poaceae
Description: long non-coding RNA (HVUL_LNC006563)
Source: RNAcentral
UGUUCACUAGAGGCUUCUCUCAAAAUAGCAAGUAUUACGGUGGGUGAACAAAUUACUGUCGAGCAAUUGAUAGAACCGCGCAAAGUCAUGAAGAUAUCUAAGGCAAUGAUCAUGCAUAUAGGAAGCACGUCCGAGACAAGUAGACCGAUACUUUAUGCAUCUACUACUAUUACUCCACACAUCGACCGCUAUCCAGCAUGCAUCUAGUGUAUUGAGUUCAUGACAAACAGAGUAACGCUUUAAGCAAGAUGACAUGAUGUAGAGGGAUAAUCUCAUACC